AUGGGCUCGCGGCCUAUCAGCUUGUUGGUGAGGUAAUGGCUCACCAAGGCGUCGACGGGUAGCCGGCCUGAGAGGGUGACCGGCCACACUGGGACUGAGACACGGCCCAGACUCCUACGGGAGGCAGCAGUGGGGAAUAUUGCACAAUGGGCGCAAGCCUGAUGCAGCAACGCCGCGUGAGGGAUGACGGCCUUCGGGUUGUAAACCUCUUUUAGCAGGGAAGAAGCGAAAGUGACGGUACCUGCAGAAAAAGCGCCGGCUAACUACGUGCCAGCAGCCGCGGUAAUACGUAGGGCGCAAGCGUUAUCCGGAAUUAUUGGGCGUAAAGAGCUCGUAGGCGGUUUGUCGCGUCUGCUGUGAAAUCCGGAGGCUCAACCUCCGGCCUGCAGUGGGUACGGGCAGACUAGAGUGCGGUAGGGGAGAUUGGAAUUCCUGGUGUAGCGGUGGAAUGCGCAGAUAUCAGGAGGAACACCGAUGGCGAAGGCAGAUCUCUGGGCCGUAACUGACGCUGAGGAGCGAAAGGGUGGGGAGCAAACAGGCUUAGAUACCCUGGUAGUCCACCCCGUAAACGUUGGGAACUAGUUGUGGGGUCCAUUCCACGGAUUCCGUGACGCAGCUAACGCAUUAAGUUCCCCGCCUGGGGAGUACGGCCGCAAGGCUAAAACUCAAAGGAAUUGACGGGGACCCGCACAAGCGGCGGAGCAUGCGGAUUAAUUCGAUGCAACGCGAAGAACCUUACCAAGGCUUGACAUAUACGAGAACGGGCCAGAAAUGGUCAACUCUUUGGACACUCGUAAACAGGUGGUGCAUGGUUGUCGUCAGCUCGUGUCGUGAGAUGUUGGGUUAAGUCCCGCAACGAGCGCAACCCUCGUUCUAUGUUGCCAGCACGUAAUGGUGGGAACUCAUGGGAUACUGCCGGGGUCAACUCGGAGGAAGGUGGGGAUGACGUCAAAUCAUCAUGCCCCUUAUGUCUUGGGCUUCACGCAUGCUACAAUGGCCGGUACAAAGGGCUGCAAUACCGCGAGGUGGAGCGAAUCCCAAAAAGCCGGUCCCAGUUCGGAUUGAGGUCUGCAACUCGACCUCAUGAAGUCGGAGUCGCUAGUAAUCGCAGAUCAGCAACGCUGCGGUGAAUACGUUCCCGGGUCUUGUACACACCGCCCGUCAAGUCAUGAAAGUCGGUAACACCUGAAGCCGGUGGCCUAACC
This 1205-nucleotide ribosomal RNA is filed under the name Microbacterium sp. RNAcentral's name for it is "bacterial SSU rRNA". It matches the Rfam family "Bacterial small subunit ribosomal RNA", at positions 225 to 1440 of the family's 1533-position model. The record is from RNAcentral. Lineage: Bacteria; Bacillati; Actinomycetota; Actinomycetes; Micrococcales; Microbacteriaceae.